GCCCACGGUGCAUUUCAAUGGCCGCUGAGAAGAGUAAGCGCCAAAUCGUCCGCAGCCCCUCACUUUGAGUGCGAUUGUCGCAGGUUUAUCAUCAGAAGCCACGUGGAUGUCGAAUUGCUCGACAGCACCACCAGAGUUGAACAGGUCAAGCAGGCCGAUUGGAGCAAAAGCGAUGUUAGAUGUGAUUUCCUGCCCAAGAGAAAGGUCGGUAUUAGGAACUGUCUUGCAAAGCCCGGAAAGUCUGAAAUGGUUGUCACACAGGCAGCAGAGAGAAAAGGAUAGAAUUCAUACCUUCAGUGGACAGAAGUGGAAAAGCUCAUACUCCAGAACCUUGAGAGUAACAGGGACGGACGCACCUUUGGGCAGCCGAAUCAACUCCCCUGGAAUUUACAACGGUAUCACAAUUUGAAACUUCCCUUUCCAUACAGAAACCUUUCAAGUAUACAAGAAACUCUAUGUUCUCGAAUCAUUCUUCAGAACAACAGGUUUAUUUAAUUACCUGAUCUGUAGGCAUAAACUAUAGUCUCUCCAUUCCAAUUUGGACUGGCCACUUGGGAAAUGAGGUCAACAUCCGUGGCACGGACAGAGGUGGUGAGGGUACCCGGUGAUUCAUCAUGGAUGCGAGUCUUCUUAACAACCUUGCACCAGCCAGCACCUUGGCAAUUGAAUACCCCGACCACUCCAGUGCAUUUAUUCAAGUUCCAUAUCUUG
Molecule: long non-coding RNA, 711 nt
Filed under: Eucalyptus grandis
Lineage: Eukaryota; Viridiplantae; Streptophyta; Magnoliopsida; Myrtales; Myrtaceae
Description: long non-coding RNA (EGRA_LNC000325)
Source: RNAcentral